Molecule: ribosomal RNA, 300 nt
Filed under: uncultured Ignisphaera sp.
Lineage: Archaea; Thermoproteati; Thermoproteota; Thermoprotei; Desulfurococcales; Desulfurococcaceae
Description: bacterial SSU rRNA
Rfam family: Bacterial small subunit ribosomal RNA (bases 55-300)
Source: RNAcentral
AAAAAGUAGGUGGAGGCGGCGGGUGUAAUAUGGUUGGGGUAAGCGUGUUCCUGGUUGAUUGGGCGUACAGAGCGGUUCGGGGGCCAUACAGGUCUGCUGUGAAAACGCGAGGCUCAACGUAGGGCGGUCGGCGUAAACCGUCUGGCUAGAGUCCGGGAGAGGAGGGUGGAAUUCCUGGGGUAGCGGUGAAAUGCGCAGAUAUCAGGAAGAACACCUAGGGCGAAGGCAGCUCUCUUGGACGGUACUGACGCUGAGACGCGAAAGCGUGGGGAGCGAACAGGAUUAGAUACCCCGGUAGUC